UGUUGGGACACAAUCCUGUGCCAUGUGCUCUGGAAUGACCCUGCUUGAGCAGAGGUGGGACCCAGUGACCCACUGUGGUCCCUUCCGACCUGCCCCGUUCUGUGAUUCUGGGCUGAAAGGUCACCUGCACAGUGGGCAUUGCUGGGGCCAUGCCUGGGUGAGUGCCAGUAACCAGACCCUGGGUGGUCCAGUGUUCAGGGAGAGUCAUUGAGUCCCCACUCUGCAGGUACUCAGCCAUGUUCACGAGGUCUAAAUCAAUGCUGCCUGUACCCCAUGGUUGUGUUGGGAUGUCCUCAGCCAGGGAUCUUGCCCUGCACUGGUUCUUCGCCCCUUAGCUGGUAGAUCACUCACAUCUGCUCAACAGUGCUUGGUAAACUUGAUUUUCAGCAUUCUCCAGUGAAUAUUGCAGGGAUUGCUCCACUGCAGUCUGUAUUGGAGGUGCUGUUGGUUUGUGAGAGGAGAGGCUGCCCUGCCAGAGGUGCCUGGAAGUGGAGCAGGUUGCAGUGGUCAUGUCCCACCCCACGCACCAGGGAUCAUUGAGCCAUUUAGGUUGGAAAAACAGUAGAAAGAAAUUGCUCCCUGUGAGGGUGGUGAGGUCCUGGCACAGAGAAGCUGUGGAUGCCCCAUCCCUGGAAGAAUCUUAGGCCAGGUUGGAGGGGUCUUGGAGCACCGUGGUCUAGUGCAAGGUGUCCCAGCCAUGGCAGGGAGUGGAAUGAGAAGAGCCUAAAGUCCCUUCCAACUCAAGCCAUUCUAUGAUUCUGUGAAAAGACCUUUAAGAUCAAGUCCAACUGGUAACCCAAUGCAGCCAAGCUCAGGAUUGGAACGUGGAGUUUUCCAGACAACAAGCUUUGGAUGCAGGUGGGAGAUGUUGGUUUGAAAAGUGGCAGGCACUGUGGGAAAUCACGUGUGCAAGGGCACAUCUGCCGUGUAUCCUCUUACCCCCUGGGGCAGCAUUGUCCUUUAAUUGCUGGGUGGGUUAGGCGUGUCAACAGCCAGCAUUGCUGCUGAACUGCAACAGCCAGUCAAAAAAAGGUGAAUUUUCUGGUUGGUUGUCAGUUCCAGAGGUUUCUUUGGCAUAAAGUAUUUUGGCCUUCACUUUGGUUUGUGGACAAGCUUUUCUUUUCUGUUCAUUCAGUUAUUCGAGCUAUCAUGACACGGAGGAAGGGUAAUCAUUUAAGAACUGGAAGACAAGACAGCUGAGAGAAAGCUGGAACCACAACUUAUAUUCUCAUGUCAUUAAAUCAAGUAAAUAUUAAAGAAAGCCCCACUGCAGCCAUUCACAGCUUCUAGUUAAGAGCAGCUGUUGAGCAUUAAGUUUAGAAUCAGUAACAGUCUAAUUCAGGGGAAAAAUUGUGUUAGGGCUUGGAGAGCUGGAUCAUGUGAGAGCUCUCACCUGCAUUGGUGAGAUGUAGUUGAUGGCACUGAGUCCUGUACCAGGGGUCACCUGAUGAGCACAUCCAUGUGCCCCAGAAGCCUCUCUGCCCUUAAGUGUUUCCUUCUGUUUGGAGCUUCAGCAUAAAUAAACCACAUAAGCAUAUCUCAUUGUACAUUAGGAAUUUUUUUUCAAAAGUCCUGGAAAGCAAAGAUUUUAUCUCAACUUCUUUCUUAAUAACAGUUAUUAUAAUUCUCAUUAUCAAGGCAAGACUUAGAGGCCCAUCUGUAUUACUGCUGUCCUUGGUUUUGUGUAUCCAUGUGUAUAUGGGUGUUCUUUGAAAACAGUACUGAGAGCAGUGUGCUGUGUCCUGGGCUUUGAAGAAAUGCACACGUUUUGCUGAAAACAUCUGCAUCUUCAAAAUACUGUAGCACUGCAACACUUUCACUUGUGUUCCAGGUUUCUUUGCAGGCUCUUGGAGCUUUGGGAAUUUGCUUUGCUGUGUUUUUUGAAUAGAGUACAACUUUAAAGCAGAAGCUCCCUGACCGACUUUGAUAUAUUUGAGUGGGUUUUUUUGGUCUGAUUUUUCCUAGUUAGGUUUUUGGGUGGGAUAUUUUUAGUAUAAAGCCUUUUAAGAAUCAGAAGCUUGUUGUGGGCAUGGUGGUGGUGGAGCUGGUUUAAAGAUGAUAGCAGCAAAGCAUUUAUCUCUCUGCCCAUGUGCUGUGUGAUUGUCUGCGUUGCUGAAUUCGUGGCAGGUUGAAGAGCUGUUGAGUACUGACAGUGCCUUUUUAGCCUGGAAUGCCCUAAACUUCUCUGCAGCAUUCCUUUUCCCUACUUUUGUGAGGUCUUAAAACUAUCUUUGUUUGAGUGAGCUGCUGGGUGCUGCUUUUGGGUUCUGUGUGCCCGCAGGCACUAUGGUCUGUGGGACGCAUAAUUAUUGACAUCACUAAGAGAAAGAGGCAAGGAGCUUGGCAAGUAUUUAUGCACUUGAUAGGACAUAAAGGCAUUCUGGGGCACAAAGCCCUUUCAUGCAGUUAGUUCUGCCUGGUCUUUGAGGAUUAAGCUCUGUGCUCAGACCCAUGUCCUUAUUUGAUGCUGCAAUUGCCUUAAUUUCUGAAAGCGUUGGUGUCCUGAAUGGUUAAUGCUGUUUUGCACCUGGUCAGGACCAGCUGCAUUGACUCUGGGUUUCAUGUACAUGCUGCCCUGUGCUGAGUUUUUUGGCACUUUGAGAUGUCUUGAUUAACAUCCAGCGAUGUUCAGUCCGUGUAGAACAGCAUUAACAUUUCAGAGGGGCCUGCAAAAGGUCAGUAAGAACUGCAGGUCUGUUGCCAACAUGUGAAUGUGGAUUUCUUUGAAUCUCUUUACAAUGUGCAGUUCAAAACAAGUUUAAAAACCUUUAGUUUUGGGACUAGGUGCCAGCACAAAGCCUGAUACAGAAAAACACAGCACAGAUCACUACAACUGAGUUAAAGGCUUAGAUCCUGGGAGUGUUUGGAGAUGACAUCUGUGUCCAGAAGUUAGGGUGCUCCCUGGGGAGAGGGGAAUUGGGGUAAUUACCACUCCCUGCACCAGGAACAUCUGGAGUUACAAAAGGCUAUUUCUCUUUGUAUGAGAGGGUAUUAAGACCCCCUAAGUAAGGGUAGGUAAAAGGCCUGGAGACAUGAAAUUGCAGCUGUAAGUCAGGAGAAGAGGGAGCUGAACCUGUUCAUAGGGUGGUGUCUGGAUAAUUGGGUUGGUGAGUGAGAGGAGGGGAGGGCAUUGCUGUGUCCUUUCUUUUGCAUUUCUUAAAAGUAUCCCUUGGCUUCCCCAUUUUCCAUUUCCUCAGAACUUACUACUUAUUUAGGCUUGACCCAGCCAGUCUUUUUUUUCCUUACUGCUCUCCCACUCUGUUCCCAUAUAUUCCCAAAAAAAGGAACUUUGAGGCAGUGGUGCCAGCUUUCAAGUAGAAGAUGGAAGCCAAGGCCUUAGAGUGCGUUCGUUGUCUGCUUUGUUUUUGAAGCCAGAGUGUCACGUUAUUUUUACUGUCUGUGCUGUUUGCUUGUCUGUGAGCACUGGGAUAGCUCUGGCAUCUCCCCAGUGCUUUGUGUGCUUACACUUGAGCACAGCAUUGCUGUAGACCCCUGACACACAGAAACAACGCCGUGCUGUUGAAGAUGCUCUCUUGAAUGCCGGAAGAAGGGGGAAAGAGGCAGCAUGGAGGGUUGUGAAGAAGUUACUACAAGCUCAGAGUAAAGAGAGUUGAGGCUGCAGGGAUGGGGCAGCUGCUGCAGAGCUGGUGCCACUGCCAGAGCAAAAUGUGAACUCUGAAUAAAGCCAUAACCCAC
Haemorhous mexicanus (house finch) is the source of this 3696-nucleotide long non-coding RNA. RefSeq lists it as uncharacterized. Lineage: Eukaryota; Metazoa; Chordata; Aves; Passeriformes; Fringillidae. The record is from RefSeq and is a predicted model, not a curated record. The transcript is spliced from 2 exons.